This 486-nucleotide ribosomal RNA is filed under the name uncultured bacterium. RNAcentral's name for it is "partial 16S ribosomal RNA". It matches the Rfam family "Bacterial small subunit ribosomal RNA", at positions 29 to 507 of the family's 1533-position model. The record is from RNAcentral.
AUUGAACGCUGGCGGCAUGCCUUACACAUGCAAGUCGAACGGCAGCACGGGUGCUUGCACCUGGCGGCGAGUGGCGAACGGGUGAGUAAUACAUCGGAACAUGUCCUGUAGCGGGGGAUAGCCCGGCGAAAGCCGGAUUAAUACCGCAUACGAUCUACGGAGGAAAGCGGGGGACCUUCGGGCCUCGCGCUAUAGGGUUGGCCGAUGGCUGAUUAGCUAGUUGGUGGGGUAAAGGCCUACCAAGGCGACGAUCAGUAGCUGGUCUGAGAGGACGACCAGCCACACUGGGACUGAGACACGGCCCAGACUCCUACGGGAGGCAGCAGUGGGGAAUUUUGGACAAUGGGCGAAAGCCUGAUCCAGCAAUGCCGCGUGUGUGAAGAAGGCCUUCGGGUUGUAAAGCACUUUUGUCCGGAAAGAAAUCCUUGGCCCUAAUACGGUCGGGGGAUGACGGUACCGGAAGAAUAAGCACCGGCUAACUACGUG